This 198-nucleotide ribosomal RNA is filed under the name uncultured bacterium. Its description in RNAcentral is "partial 16S ribosomal RNA". It matches the Rfam family "Bacterial small subunit ribosomal RNA", at positions 1303 to 1500 of the family's 1533-position model. The record is from RNAcentral.
GGCUGAAACUCGCCUACAUGAAGCUGGAGUUACUGUAAUCGCAGAUCAGAAUGCUGCGGUGAAUGCGUUCCCGGGUCUUGUACACACCGCCCGUCACACCACGGAAGUUGGGGGCGCCCGAAGCCACUUAGCUAACCCUUUGGGAAGCGAGUGUCGAAGGUGAAAUCAAUAACUGGGGUGAAGUCGUAACAAGGUAAC